Molecule: non-coding RNA, 240 nt
Filed under: Kiloniella litopenaei
Lineage: Bacteria; Pseudomonadati; Pseudomonadota; Alphaproteobacteria; Rhodospirillales; Kiloniellaceae
Also listed under: 1 other name
Source: RNAcentral
AGACACUUCGCCGGAAUCGGUUUUUCGGAUGAAAAUUUGAUCCGGAAAUAAUAGGGAACACGGAGAGAUCUACCCAUCAGGGGAUCUUGAGCCGUGGCUGCCCCCGCAACUGUAAGCAACUUAAAGCUUGUUAUAACCACUGGUAUUUUUCAGAGAUAAUUCGCUCUGAAUUUUUAUAUCGGGAAGGAACAAUGCUCUUGCGUUGCAAGCCAGGAGACCUGCCGGUUUAACGUCACCUGU